CGCGUAGGCGGCAUAGUCAGUCAGGCGUGAAAUUCCUGGGCUUAACCUGGGGGCUGCGUUUGAGACGGCUAUGCUAGAGGGUAGGAGAGGGUCGUGGAAUUCCCAGUGUAGAGGUGAAAUUCGUAGAUAUUGGGAAGAACACCGGUGGCGAAGGCGGCGACCUGGCCUAUUACUGACGCUGAGGCGCGACAGCGUGGGGAGCAAACA
Molecule: ribosomal RNA, 207 nt
Filed under: uncultured bacterium
Lineage: Bacteria
Description: partial 16S ribosomal RNA
Rfam family: Bacterial small subunit ribosomal RNA
Source: RNAcentral